RNAcentral lists this ribosomal RNA (467 nucleotides) under uncultured bacterium. Its description in RNAcentral is "partial 16S ribosomal RNA". It matches the Rfam family "Bacterial small subunit ribosomal RNA", at positions 28 to 507 of the family's 1533-position model. The record is from RNAcentral.
GAUGAACGCUGACAGAAUGCUUAACACAUGCAAGUCCACUUGAAUUUGGGUUUUUACCUUAGGUUUGGGUGGCGGACGGGUGAGUAACGCGUAAAGAACUUGCCUCACAGCUAGGGACAACAUUUGGAAACGAAUGCUAAUACCUAAUAUUAUGAUAAUAGGGCAUCCUAUAAUUAUGAAAGCUAUAAGCGCUGUGAGAGAGCUUUGCGUCCCAUUAGCUAGUUGGAGAGGUAACGGCUCACCAAGGCGAUGAUGGGUAGCCGGUCUGAGAGGGUGAUCGGCCACAAGGGGACUGAGACACGGCCCUUACUCCUACGGGAGGCAGCAGUGGGGAAUAUUGGACAAUGGACCGAGAGUCUGAUCCAGCAAUUCUGUGUGCACGAUGAAGUUUUUCGGAAUGUAAAGUGCUUUCAGUUGGGAAGAAACAAAUGACGGUACCAACAGAAGAAGUGACGGCUAAAUACGUG